RNAcentral lists this ribosomal RNA (253 nucleotides) under uncultured bacterium. Its description in RNAcentral is "partial 16S ribosomal RNA". It matches the Rfam family "Bacterial small subunit ribosomal RNA", at positions 28 to 291 of the family's 1533-position model. The record is from RNAcentral.
GAUGAACGCUAGCGGCAGGCCUAAUACAUGCAAGUCAAGGGGUUCAGCAAUGGACACCGGCGGACGGGUGCGUAACGCGUACACAACGUACCUCAGAGCGGGGGAUAGCAUUGGGAAACUGGUGGUAAACCCCCAUGGUGUUGGAAUGUGGCAUCACAAAUUCAACUAAAAGGUUAACACUCUGAGAUCGGUGUGCGUCUGAUUAGCUAGUUGGCGGGGUAACGGCCCACCAAGGCGACGAUCAGUAGGGGGU